UGCAAGUCGAACGGCAGCACGGAGAGCUUGCUCUCUGGUGGCGGGUGGCGAACGGGUGAGUAAUAUAUCGGAACGUAUCCAAUAAUGGGGGAUAACGAGUCGAAAGAUUCGCUAAUACCGCAUACGCCCUACGGGGGAAAGCAGGGGAUCGUAAGACCUUGCGUUAAUGGAGCGGCCGAUAUCUGAUUAGCUUGUUGGUGAGGUAAAGGCUCACCAAGGCGACGAUCAGUAGCUGGUUUGAGAGAACGACCAGCCACACUGGAACUGAGACACGGUCCAGACUCCUACGGGAGGCAGCAGUGGGGAAUUUUGGACAAUGGGGGCAACCCUGAUCCAGCCAUUCCGCGUGAGUGAAGAAGGCCUUCGGGUUGUAAAGCUCUUUCGCAAGGGAAGAAAACUUAUGAUCGAAUAAAUCAUGAGGUUGACGGUACCUUGAUAAGAAGCACCGGCUAACUACGUGCCAGCAGCCGCGGUAAUACGUAGGGUGCGAGCGUUAAUCGGAAUUACUGGGCGUAAAGCGUGCGCAGGCGGUUUUGUAAGUCGGAUGUGAAAUCCCCGGGCUCAACCUGGGAACUGCGUUCGAAACUGCAAGGCUAGAGUGUGUCAGAGGGGGGUAGAAUUCCACGUGUAGCAGUGAAAUGCGUAGAGAUGUGGAGGAAUACCAAUGGCGAAGGCAGCCCCCUGGGAUAACACUGACGCU
Molecule: ribosomal RNA, 700 nt
Filed under: uncultured beta proteobacterium
Lineage: Bacteria; Pseudomonadati; Pseudomonadota; Betaproteobacteria
Description: bacterial SSU rRNA
Rfam family: Bacterial small subunit ribosomal RNA
Source: RNAcentral